Molecule: transfer RNA, 64 nt
Filed under: Archiblatta hoeveni
Lineage: Eukaryota; Metazoa; Arthropoda; Insecta; Blattodea; Blattidae
Description: tRNA-His
Source: RNAcentral
ACUUAAAUAGUUUAAUAAAAAUAUUGAUUUGUGGUGUCAAGGAUAUAAAAAUUUAUUUUAAGUU